AGGAGAAAACAGAAAUCAUGUGAGAGACACAGUCCUGUUGUUUACUACAAAAUAGGAGGUCAGGGGUGUGAGUGAGGACCGCAGCCAGAAGAACCUGUGUGGUGGACCGGAAGGAGCAAAUGCAAGGAGGAAUGUGCCCAGACAAAGGAAUGCAGAGAAAACAAGAAUGAGAGAAGCUCUACUGACGUCAAUGGAAAUUCCAGAUGCAGAAUGAAGACAGAAUAUAGCCUAUUGUCAUUUUUGGGUAUAACAAAAUAUAAAACAGGCAUUUCUAAAAUAUUUCUAGUUGCAGUGGUUGCAAAACACAUCAUACUUGAUAAGCUUUCACAAACACGAAGCUAGAAGUCGCCCAAACUGAUAAACAGAAUUCAAUGCUAAAUAAUAUGACUGUGUACUUUUAAGGUUUUAAAAUCAUUGGCUGUAUAUCUCUCCCUCACAAAUGGCAGCCAAGAAUUGUCAGAUGAAAGAUGCAUGCUAUCCUGGCUAAUGAUGUCACCAGUUUACU
Molecule: long non-coding RNA, 505 nt
Organism: Cygnus atratus (black swan)
Lineage: Eukaryota; Metazoa; Chordata; Aves; Anseriformes; Anatidae
Exons: 3
Source: RefSeq, a predicted model, not a curated record